ACAGCUUUGGACAAAAGUCUAUAGCCAGUGCAUUCGUAACUCCCCAUACACAAGAGCUGACUGUGGCUGUGGGAAGACAUUUUACUCAUUUGCUUUCCUCUUUCUUAUAGUUUUCUUGUCCUGUUCUCAGGUGUUUACCACCUAUUAGAAUUUCACCUGUAAUGGGUCCUGUGUUUGAGAAAGUCCCAGGACUUGUCAUCUGGUAUAGGCCUCAUAAAGACAGCUCU
Non-coding RNA from Alligator sinensis (Chinese alligator), 227 nucleotides. The record is from Rfam. NCBI's taxonomy places the organism in Eukaryota, Metazoa, Chordata, Crocodylia, Alligatoridae.